RNAcentral lists this long non-coding RNA (1615 nucleotides) under Jatropha curcas. RNAcentral describes it as "long non-coding RNA (JCUR_LNC001902)". Lineage: Eukaryota; Viridiplantae; Streptophyta; Magnoliopsida; Malpighiales; Euphorbiaceae. The record is from RNAcentral.
AACUUUAAUUCCUCUGGUAAGUCUAAUUUUUACCUUCAUUCAAUUAGCUAAUCAUCUAGUGCAAUAAUUAUCAUACAAAGAGCAAAAUAUUCAAAUUGAAGAUACAAAGAAAGAAUCUAGUGAAAAAGUUGAUUCUGAGAUAACCAGACUCGAAGAUCAAGUUAUUGAAUUUUGACUUUCAAAUUCCACUAGGGUAAGUGGGGCCCAUGAUGAAGUGGGUCUUUGAUUCCACUUCAUGAAAGUAUGGCAGCUCUCUCUUCUUCUUCUUCUUCUUCUUCCUCCUCCUCUCUGGCCUUUGGUUGCUAGGGUUUCACUUUUUUUCUCAUUUCCCUAGUUGGUUAAUCAGAAAGAAAGAAUUGAUUCCUGAUUUGCAUCUAAGUGUACCUUUUUCCAAAGUAUCUUAGACUGCUGUGCUACUUUAGAAAGGGCACAGCUUUCUGCUGGAAAAGGACUGUUUGAUCAGAAAGAAAAGGUUACACCAUGUGAAUUGUACUAAAAAAAUAUUUAUAUCUGAGUUGUGAGAUGAUUAAUGCAUGUCCUAAUAAUAAUUGAUUCUCACUUUCUAUGGGUAUUGGAUAAUUUGAACUUUUGAUUUACUGUUGGUCGUAUAGGAAUAGUAACCAUGAAAGUAAGUUCUUAAACAAUAAGACAAAAUGCUCCAUUAGUUCAAAUAGUCUUCGCAUUGAUAAAUGGACCCCAAUGCCAUUACCAUCCAAGGAAGCAUAUAGUUUCUAAAGAAGCAAAUACUAAAUCUGCCUUUUCUUUGGAUCGUUCUUUUUUGUGAAACUUCAACUUCAUCUUUUCUUGAUGUUGGGCUGCUAGUACUGCAUCACUAUUACCUGAGAAACAUUUAAAAUCUAUUGCUAACAAGAGAAAAAAAAGUACAUAAUGUGCAAAAUGUUCCCUUUCCUCAAUUUACCAGUUCCAUUGUCCAAUUAGUAAUUUAUGUGCAAAUGCUCUCUUUUCUCAAAAUUUGCUAGUUCCAUCCUACAAUUUAUAAUUUAUGUUUGUUUGUAUUUCAUCCGGUUUGUAAUACUCUGUCAAGAGUUAUCAAUAUGUAUUAUUUUAAAAAGUUAUGACAUAAAAAUUUAGAUAGUCCACAACCAUUAUAUAGAAAUUUUGAUUUUAUUCUCAAUGGCGAAUUGCUCUUAACAAUUAAGUAAGAGCAAGAGAGACAAGUUAUUAAAUUCAUUUAUUAAUUUAAAGAGGGCAGGCAGCAGAUCCAUAGCCACAAGCUCGAAACUCAAUUAUUCGCAGCAACAAUAUUGAAAAAGUGGAGGAUAACAUUUGCCUCCUGCAUAACCGAUACGUUUGCAAAACGCACCACAAUCGGGGAAGUUUUCACAUUUUCCUCUGCACACAGGUGCAGCCUCUCCUGCAAAAUAAAGGAAGGUCACCAAUUCAAUAUUAGCCUCCUACAAAAUUAUAAUAUAUAUGUAUAUAAAGAGAGCUAAGGCUUCCCUUUUAAUUUACCUAGCAAGAAGAAGAGAUUGAGAACUAUGAUUGUGAUGAUCAAUAUCCUAGUUAUCAAAGAGAGAUACAUUUUCUUCUUCUUCUUCUGUAAGUUUUUUUUAUCGAUGAGGAAGGAUAUUUUGAUAGUAAAGUGAUUUCAUAG